Molecule: long non-coding RNA, 1055 nt
Organism: Daphnia pulicaria
Lineage: Eukaryota; Metazoa; Arthropoda; Branchiopoda; Diplostraca; Daphniidae
Exons: 8
Source: RefSeq, a predicted model, not a curated record
GCCAGUUAAACUUUUCUUCGAAAAUUGCCAAUGAAUUCAUAGGAGGAAACGUGAAAAGGUCGUGCAGCCUACCGUCAACUAUUUUGUUCAAAUAACUCAUUGUAUUCUACUGAAUGUGCCAUCAAAAUGAUACAGAUCACCAACCCCAGCAUGGACCAAUCUCUCAUUCCAUCUUCUAGAGAACCUUGGAUAACUGAUUGGUGGUUUUUAUGUGUUCUAAACUAUAGUUUUCUAAAUUGGCAUGACAGACUUAUUUAAGAGAAAUCAUGUCCUUUCAAGAAAAAGGACAAGGACUAUACAAUCAACAAGAUUCCUUGUUUUCUAACCGUUGGCUGCUACCCUUGAAUCUCCCUGUUUGUCAACAACAAAAACAGAGAUAUGGCCCAUGACACCAAAUGUCUGGUUGUCCCUCUAAAAUAAGGCAAUGGCCACACGUUCAACGCGGAUCAUUCGUUUUGUCAUCGAACUUGACUCGUUCCAUCUUCUGGAUUGCUUAGGAAACCGUUACCUGUGUUAUGACCGAGAAGAUGCGGCCUACAUGAACAUCAUUUAGGCGGCCAGCAUCAUUCGACUAACCAACCGGCUUCUGCUACCCUGCUCUUAACACAGCACGGAGUUUUACCCUUUAGAUUUUUGGCUGUUCGCGAUGUAUGAUGGCGUUUCCUUGGACGAGAUGAUGAUUUUGGCGAGAAAAAUAUUGCGUUGUAACCUUCAGGUUCCUAAAUUUGCAUGACAGUGUUUAUGAAAAGUAAUGUUCUUUCAAGAAAGUCAACAAGGUCCCUUGUUUGCUAACCCAAUGAAUGCUACCCUUGAAUCUCCCUAUUUAGCUCCUUAUUACACAGCCCCUCUUGAUUUGAGGGUAAUCCUUCGCUACUGAUCAUGGACUCCAUUGGUGAAACUGAAAACCGAAGAGAGAAUGCUGUAAUCCAAGACUGAUAAACUGUGUAGUCAGAUUCUAUUACAAGUGCAUAACUGGGCUCCCUUCUUUUCUGUGGCCCCGUUUCCCUAACUAACCACUAACCAACGCCCGCCGGUGGUCACUCACCCGCUGUGAA